Long non-coding RNA from Ictalurus punctatus (channel catfish), 1531 nucleotides. NCBI's taxonomy places the organism in Eukaryota, Metazoa, Chordata, Actinopteri, Siluriformes, Ictaluridae. The record is from Ensembl.
UCUCCAUUUCUGCUCAGAAACUCCUCAGAAGCAGCUGAAGCCCAGAACAAAUGAGACGGAGAAGAAAAGGAAAAGCCUGGGCUGCAUCUGCUGUACGUGACCAAGCGAACUCUGACCCCUCUCCCUGUCCCGCCCGAGGCCGAGGCAGCGCCGCGAGCCUGGGCUCACCCGGGCCCCUGUGCACGAGCUCCAGGGUGUAUAGCGAGAACGACCAGCGAUACCUAACGCCUCGGCGACCACAGCAGGGAUCUCCAGACCAUAAUACUCCUGUACACUGUUUACAGCAUGGACUCUGAGGAGCGAGUGUGUCCUCAUACCCACACACACACACACACACACACACACACACACACACACACCAGCAGGGCAGCGCCGGACUCGAGCGCGCUGCCGCGGCUUUGAUCUUGGUCUCAAUUCUAAUUAUUAUAUCUAUUUUUUUAUUUUACUCGGAUUUCCACAGACGCUGACGUUGUAGUUCUUUACGCUUCACCGAUUUGUAACCUUGUAUUUUUUUAUUGGACGAUGGAUGUUUUUGGGCGUUGUUUCUGAAAAUCUCUAUUAUUUUUUUAUACCGGAGCUGACUGACGAUGCGCUCGCGCCCGAGACCUGCCGCGCUUUUAGAGCUACUUCGGUACGGCGGAAUUAAACGCGAGUAUUUUUGAUAAGACGACGUGUCCGUGUUACUGAGGAACAACAGAAAACCGUGAGAGUCUUAAGCAUUUCCUCUUUAGUGAAAUAAAACCACGCUGCAUUGUGGAGUUUGUGUAUCAGUGGCCUGCGCUCACGUCUUGCUUUCCUUUUUUUUAUUUUUAUUUUUUAGAGAAUAAACGUCUCGGCAGAGUGUUACUGAACGGGGUGUGGGGUAUGCAAAUGAGUAUGAAUAUGCAAAUGAGUGUGUUCAUUUUGUCUUAUUAUUGCACCAAAACCAUCUCAAUAUUUAUAUCAGCACACACACACACACACACACGUCUCUAGUACUGUUAGUUUAAAAAUCACAUUUAAAUUUAAACAUUUUACAUUUGAAUACAUUUGAAUAUUAAUGAGUUUGUAUCAAAUCAGCUACACGUGUUAAAUCACAUCAGCUCUAAAAAAAGUACAUUUCUAAAAAUCAUUUCAUCAGUGUUAUUGUUGUAGAUUACUUCAUUUAUUUAUUUACUAACAAAGGUUUUCUUUUCAUUGACCUUGCUUUAAUAAAUUCUAAUCGUUCUCUAUAUCCGCUCCCCACGUCGCGCGCGUAGCCUGCAGCUCCACUUAGAUCCGUCUACAGAUUAAUACUUCUUUUAUCUUCUGCACAAUAUAAAUACGCUAUAACGUUAGAGCUCUUUCCCGACAUCAGGUGACACGUGGCCGCUUCAGACCCAUCAGUGCAGUGACUACAGGUUCAUAUUUUUGCAUUUAAAUAUGUAAUAUGCAUUUAAAUAUGCAUUUAAAUCUUUUUUUAAAUUAGUGUUCAAACGGUCAACAUGAUGCACCGAUGUGUGAUGUUUUUGAAAGUGAAUUUAAUGGAGUUUAGAGAGAUUUUGGAAUUUAG